GGCUCAACUGUUAGGCUUCUGGGGGAUACUGUCGAACUUGGAACCGGGAGAGGUAAGAGGUACUUCGGGGGUAGGAGUGAAAUCUUGUAAUCCUUGAGGGACCACCAAUGGCGAAGGCGUCUUACCAGAACGGGUUCGACGGUGAGGGACGAAAGCUGGGGGAGCGAACCGGAUUAGAUACCCGGGUAGUCCCAGCCGUAAACGAUGCUCGCUAGGUGUCUGGCAUGGUGCGA
Molecule: ribosomal RNA, 233 nt
Filed under: uncultured methanogenic archaeon
Lineage: Archaea; Methanobacteriati; Methanobacteriota
Description: partial 16S ribosomal RNA
Rfam family: Archaeal small subunit ribosomal RNA
Source: RNAcentral